GUCUGGGCCGGCGCUAGCUUCUUAGCGAUCCUAGCGCGUUGUCCAGCCAGUCUUGCUAUUGCCAAGAAGAGAUAACAAGACGCCCAAAGGCUGCAGUUCCCAUCGUACUGUUAUCAACCCUUCGUUAUGGGAAAUCCCAGACAGGACUGACUGCAAGGCUCGGCUCUUAGUGGAAUCGAGGGUCAGAGUUCAAAGCCCACUAAUGUUUAAGGUCGAGGCUGUGGAUAAAAUUUCCUGUAUUAGAUCACGUGGUCAGAAAAGGUCCUGGAGGAGAUGACAUUUGAACUACCAUCUGAACACAAGAGCUAGGGAUUGGUGGAUCGGGUAAAGAAUGUUGAAAGUAGAUGCUACAGCUUGUGAAGAGGCCUUUGGCGAUCCGAGAGGGGAGGUGCAGCCUGGGAAACUAUCACUAGACUACAGAGAUGGAAGCUCCAGAAGACAGCUAGAGGUGUAAGACUCUGCCUACGCUGUGUCCACGGUGAAGAACUGGAAAGAUAAAAGGCUCAAUCGUGGAGGAUGCUAGAGAGAUGCCCUCAUUGCUUGUGCCGUGUUAUCCCAGUGUCACGAAGUCCAAGUCUGUGGACAUUUUCUUGACAGGAAGAGACUGCUCCUUCUGUGGGGACACAGCCAUAUCUGACUGACCUGCUGCUGACAAUAUCCUACAUGGACCCCAGCAAUUAUCCAGUAAAGACCCCUGGGCAGCUGUUCUGUCCUGAUCUAGAGAGACUCCUGUACUUUUGUCUGCAGGAGUCUAUAUCGUUCUCCUGCCUUUGGAUCAUGGUUUCUUUUAGCCUUUCUUUCUAGACUGACACAGUAGUCUUAAAAGAAACAUCCUUCUGGCUAGAGUCAUUGUGUGAAUUCCUGAUGCACAACACACUCUGUAAAAAGUCACCUUUUCUCGUGAUGGUUUUAGCCUUCUUUAUCUCUGUUGUUUCCCCUUCAGUUCUGGCCAAGACAACAGGAGAGUCUAGGUGGUCUUUUGUAUGGAAAAGGAAAAGGGUCUCUUCAGAACACAACCAGUCCUUUCAGGGCAACAAAAUGAUGAUUAUGUAAGAGGUUUUUUGUUUGUUUUGUUUUUACCUUUGUUUUUUUGUUUUGUCUUUUUUAACUCGACUCUAAAAUGCAUAAAGGAGUCCUUUUUGGAUCCAGAGACGAAAUGUAAUGAGAGACCAGGAUAAAGCCUUAGGAUUCUUUUUAGCCUUUAUUAUCAAACUCUCCUGCAAUCUGUUUCCUGUAAAGAAAAAAAAGCUGCUGUGCUUCCUCCUUGCUCAUCACUGGCUGUGAGUUUGCUGAUCUAUGGUCUAUGCAUAUGUGCACAACUUUAAAUAAGCUAAGGAUGUCAGUUAAGGUACUAAGAGGAAAGAGAAGAGGCACUCACAAGAAUGUAAGGACGAAGCCACUUGAAAGGAUAUAGGUUAAAUUUAAGGGACUCAAGGAAGAAGAGUAAAGGACCUCAGGACUGGCAAUGGUUGGGGAUGGGCUUCAUCAUCCCUAAGUUUGAAGAGGUUGGAAAAGAGAAGUUACCAGAACCCUAAAAUAGAGCUGUUGAAGAACUGCACAUAGUAGAGGCUUCCCCUGUCCUAGAGGGAAGUUACCACUGGCAAUCCUUCCUGAUGUUGAGAGCAGUCUCUGACAUCACUAUGACUCUUCUAUCUUCAUCUCUCUUGCCCGUCUCGUCCAAGAUUCUCCUGCUACUUGAAUGAAGCCCAAAUUUGGAGGGGAAGGAAGCUGAGAUGAUGCAGUGAGCAAAGGUUGGCAUUCCACAGCUUAGAGCAAGGUGACAAGGUCAAGGAGUGCACCUGGAGGGGUGAUGCCAAAGAUAUUUGUCUCACUGGCCAGAAGUGGACAGUAUGCUAGUGAGCUGGCUGACUGCAAAGGAGGGGGACCACCUGAACCCUACGCUUCUCUCUGCAAUCUACAGCAGUCAAAGGGUGCCACUCUGGACAGAAAAUGGAGUGUCUCUCUGCUGUUUAUUAUUAUUUCUUGAAAGUUUUGAACAACAUGGCAAAAGAUCUGACAAGAAGGUUUUGCUCCAGAUGCACAGAAUUUCCUAGAAGAAAUAAGAGUGAAAACGCUUCCCGGCCAUCUGUCCUGAUCUCACACUGCACUUUCAGAAUUUCUCUCUGGUUCUCAUCCUGCAGAGGCACAUCCUGACAGACUGCAGACAAGUCUCUCUGCAACUAAAUCAAAAGGCAACAAGAGAAUCACUCAAAAUAGGGCUGGGCAGGACCGAGGACUGAAGGAGCAAGAACGAGAUGCUAAUUCUACCCAACCAACAGCUCAGGAGGUACAGAGAGAAAAAAAGAGGAAAAGUAAAUGACCUACUAACAGUGUUUCAUCUUGGUCUAUUUUCAGAAGCUUGUAGAAUUUAAAACAAGAUGCUUUGAAAAUACAGAAUGUACUUUAAUAAAAAAUAGACUACUGGCUGGUUAUCGUGUACCCAUCUAGCACAAUCCCUAUUUUUCAGAGGCAAAAGGUUAACAGCACAGAUGAACUAAACCCUCACAUACCCAAAACAAAGAUUUCAUUUGCUCUUUAGCCUUAUUUUCCCCCAACCCCUCCAACCACACUGUAAGGAAGGAAACCACGUCAAUUUAAAUUUUAGCACCUCUUCUUUCUGUAUGUUUGAAUUUCAGCAUGUCUUCUUCCUGUAUGUUUAAUGAGUUCAUGAAUAACUAUUAGCAACAAGGAAAGGGAGGAUCACAGAGGUCUGGCAAAUAGUGUCCAUUGGUGGAGUAAAACAUUCCAGAGAGAGAGAGGCAGAGAGACAGAGAGACAGAGAGACAGAGACAGAGACACAGAGAGACAGAGAGACAGACAGAGAGUUCUGAAAGGAUCUACUAAGUGAUUCAGAAUUGACUAGUACCUUAUCAAAUGCACCACAAACCCUUUAGUGUGAUAGUGGGGAAUUCAGGGAAUUCAUGGAACAUGCACAGAGACAGAAGCCACCAAGGGACAACUGCAUUGAUUCCUCAUAGAAGACAAUGAAAAUCACCAGGAAGUGUUAUUUCUUCCCAGAUGAUUUUCCUGUGCUGUCAGUGAGAGCCUGAGACACUUUGGGUUGAUUUUUUCCCUUAAAAUCUUACAGUAAAUGACUCUGACCCUAACUCCCUUUGUUUUUUUCUACUGCUGUUCACUCUUUUCUAGGAUAGAAAAACAGCAACCAAUUCAGGAAAAGGUAACAAGGAGGAGAACGUGGUUAAGGAAGCUGGAUGGCUUCUCCUCUCACACCUUCUUGCAGUUAUUUUUAUUUCACAUCAUCAGAGUUUGCAGAAUGAAUGUAGACUCUUCAGGAUAUUUUCAAAAUAGACACUUUUUUUCUACCAACCAUUACAAUUCAACUAUGAACCAUUUCCCCCCUGGAAAUCAAUACACGUGUAUUUCAGGUCCUUGUCCAAGGAUGAUGUUUGUUAAAUAAUCAUACCAAGUUCCUUGCUGUAUAGGCAGGUUCUGUCUCCUGAUUUCAAUAAAAAGGGUGCAUGCUUUUCUUAUUCCAAAAGAUAGUUAUUCUGCAAUAGACAAAAGAAAAUGAUUUGUAAUAGGGAAACAGAAAAUCAUUGUUUCUUCUGGGCUGGCACUUUGUCUAGAGUUUAUCUUUAAAGGGUGAAUUGGUGGUUUGUACCUUCCUGACUUUUUCCUUUGGCCUCACACAUGUCAUUCCUUUUCUGUAAAAAAAAAAAAAAGAAUAUGUUGUGACAAGCCACAAAAAGAAUAUAACUGAUCCAUGGCAAGAGUAUUUUAGAACACCUCCCCUUGCCUCAUUAGUUGUAAAGGCAAAGAUAACUUCUGCUUUUAAAGAUGAGAGUGAGGUCAAAGCAUAGAGAAGUCUUUUUUACCCAUUUGGAAUAAAGGUAAGAUAUUCAUUAGUAAGGGAACUUGAAAACAUUCAAUAAAGCAUUGAUUUCAA
Peromyscus maniculatus bairdii (prairie deer mouse) is the source of this 3907-nucleotide non-coding RNA. The record is from RefSeq and is a predicted model, not a curated record. NCBI's taxonomy places the organism in Eukaryota, Metazoa, Chordata, Mammalia, Rodentia, Cricetidae.